GUCUACGGCCAUGCCACCCUGAAUGUGCUGGAUCUCGUCUGAUCUCGGAAGCUAAGCAAUGUCGGGUCUGGUUAGCACUUGGAUGGAAAACCACCUUGGAAUACCAGGUGCUAUAGGCG
This 119-nucleotide ribosomal RNA is filed under the name Pteropus alecto (black flying fox). Lineage: Eukaryota; Metazoa; Chordata; Mammalia; Chiroptera; Pteropodidae. The record is from RNAcentral.